GAUGAAGAACGUAGCGAAAUGCGAUAAGUAAUGUGAAUUGCAGAAUUCAGUGAAUCAUCGAAUCUUUGAACGCACAUUGCGCCCGCCAGUAUUCUGGCGGGCAUGCCUGUCCGAGCGUCAUUUCAACCCUCGAACCCCUCCGGGGGGUCGGCGUUGGGGAUCGGCCCUUUACGGGGCCGGCCCCGAAAUACAGUGGCGGUCUCGCCGCAGCCUCUCCUGCGCAGUAGUUUGCACACUCGCAUCGGGAGCGCGGCGCGUCCACAGCCGUUAAACACCCCAAACUUCUGAAAUGUUGACCUCGGAUCAGGUAGGAAUACCCGCUGAACUUAAGCAUAUCAAUAAGCGGAUGA
RNAcentral lists this unclassified non-coding RNA (350 nucleotides) under soil metagenome. RNAcentral's name for it is "partial contains 5.8S ribosomal RNA, internal transcribed spacer 2, and large subunit ribosomal RNA". The stretch from base 1 to 120 matches the Rfam family "5.8S ribosomal RNA", at positions 35 to 154 of the family's 154-position model. The record is from RNAcentral.